AUUUACUUUGGGACAGAGUCUCGCUGAGUCACCCAGACUGGAGGGCAGUGGCGUGAUCUCAGCUCGCUACAACCUCCGCCUCCCAGGUUCAAGCUAUUCUCCUGCCUCAGCCCCCCAAGUAGCUGGGAUUACAGGUGCCCGCCACCACGCCCGGGUAACUUCUGUAUUUUUAGUAGAGAUGGGGUUUCAACAUGUUGACCAGGGUGGUUUCAGACUCCUGACCUCAAGUGAUCUGCCUGCCUUGGGCUCUCAAAGUGCUAGGAUUACAGGUGUGAGCCACUGCACCUGGCCCUCAAAGACAACAGGAGACUUCUUGCCAACAGCCACAUGAGUAAACCUCCUUGGAAGAAGAUCCUCCAGAUCUAGUCAAGCCUUCGGAUGACUGCAGCCCCAGUGGACACCUUGACUGCAACCUCAUUAAGAUCUUGAACCAGAACCACCCAGAUAAGCCACUCCCAAAUUCUUGACCCACAAAAAUCGUGAGAUAAUAAAAGCAUCCAUUGCUUUAAACCACUAAGUUUUGGGAUACUUUGAUAUGCAUCGAUAAUU
Molecule: long non-coding RNA, 549 nt
Filed under: Homo sapiens (human)
Lineage: Eukaryota; Metazoa; Chordata; Mammalia; Primates; Hominidae
Description: HSALNT0278407
Source: RNAcentral